This is a long non-coding RNA of Homo sapiens (human), 408 nucleotides long. The record is from Ensembl. Lineage: Eukaryota; Metazoa; Chordata; Mammalia; Primates; Hominidae.
UGGGCAAAGAAGCCAAGCUGUAGAAGAAAAGAUAAGCGUCACUGCCAAAUGCCUAGACUGGGAACCUUGCCAGUAGCUCUCAGACUUAUCUGAGGCAGAAGACAAGGAGAGCAAGCAGGAGCAACCCUCCCAGGACACUGCCUAUGAGGAUCCACAGGGAGAUGAGGAUAGGCCGGGUCUGAACCACCUCCAAGAGGCUCUGCGUGGACAGAAGAGUAGUUUUCUACAUGCAUCCUAUAACCCAGCUAGCCUCACCCCACAUUAUAUCAAAGCCAGCCCCCAAAUAGAAUAAAUAACCUCCUGCUACUUAAAGGAAAGAAACUGAGGCAGGAAUGGCGGCAGUGGAACACUAGGAUCCUGCUGCCUGAUGGAGAUGCCUUCGUUCUGAAAAAGCCCACGGGUGGCCCU